This 87-nucleotide transfer RNA is filed under the name Paramoeba pemaquidensis. RNAcentral's name for it is "tRNA-Ser". It matches the Rfam family "tRNA". Rfam says of the family: Transfer RNA (tRNA) molecules are approximately 80 nucleotides in length. Their secondary structure includes four short double-helical elements and three loops (D, anti-codon, and T loops). Lineage: Eukaryota; Discosea; Flabellinia; Dactylopodida; Paramoebidae. The record is from RNAcentral.
GGGUAUGUGGCUGAGCGGCUUAAGGUAAUCCUCUUGAAAAGGAUCGUAUAUUUUUAUAUACCGGGGGUUCGAAUCCCCCCAUACCCU